AGCAUUGUUCGUUACACAAAUUAGGUAGAAGGCAAAAGUUCAAAAAGUAACUGGACUGGUAACAAAGGUGCUGGGACGCCUGAUAAAAGACGCGACCAAAGUACACAAGGGAGAAUGAGUGCAGCCAGCUGGCUCAUGAGUCGGUGUGGGACCUACCUGCAGUCCAGUCCUGGGUGUCAGAGCAGAGCUGCUGAGGACUGUGAUUGGCCUGGAAGACUGUUGGACCAUGCAGGGACACAGAGUCCACAUUUUAACCACAGACACAGACGCAGGGACACUUUCUGCCCCAGAUGAAGGAAGGAGCCGAACAUGCAGGACUCCUCCGGACUGCAGUCUCUUUGGUCAUUGACGGUAAAAAGCUUGUUGCUCCACUUUUUGCUGUCGAAGGAUGGCCCCCACUCCCCACAAGUGAGAGGCAUUUAAAUAACUACUGCAUAUAUAAAACAUUUGGAUAAUAACUCAUGUAUCCAGAUAAAACAAGUUGAAUUACCAAAGUGUAUACAGGGUUUACGUCCCAAUGAUUCAUGUGACCACCACUGCAUUUGUGUAGUGUCCCCGGGUCUCCAAAGUCAAUAUUCUUCUUUAAAUCCUGAAUCCUUAAAUUCAUACUUAUUUAGUGUUUUGGACAUUCGUGUCAUUAAUGUUUAGGGGAUUGGCAUUAUUUUUGCUGCAUGAAUAAAAUCACAUUAACAUUUAUAUAUGAAUAAUGGCUAACUUGGCCUCUUGAAUGCAUUUGAUGAGAACCACAUACUUUAGACGUUUGUAUGAUUUUCGUUUUUUGGUAUAUGGGGUAAAGUAAUAUUCUUUUACUCACAUUUUAUGUGUUCUCGAUUUAUCUUUCGUCAAAUUAUUUUAAUCUAUUUUGGACAAUCUCGCAUUGAAUGUUUCAAUCAUAGCUCCUUCUACAAAAAUGUGAUUCCACACCAUUCUUGUUUCAGCAUUUCAGUUAAAAAACAAAAAGGAUUAGAAGAAUUAAGGAUUAGAGUUACCUUUUGGAUUGGAUUUUGGAAUAUAAAAUGACUUCUCUUGUUUUUCUCUUGACAGUCAAAGAGUUGACAUUUUAUAUAAUAUGUGCACAAUAUUACACUGUUGUUGUUGCCCCAAUUUUGAAAUCUACUACCAAUGGUCCCUUGAACGGGUACUCCUGUAAAAUUCUAAAAUACAUUCUAAAUAAAUUAUGCCAUGAUGUAGUACGCGCCGCCCAACCACAGACCUCGGCAACCAACAUAUAUGGUAUCUUUUAUUCAUUUAAUUCUAGUGUCGUAAAAAGAUGUAAGCCUCAACAUUUUGUUAUCUUUAAGUCUUUAUGCUACGCAUGUUGAUUCUGUCCCUUACAUUCUCUGUUUCCAUGUGUGGCUGUAUCAGAAUUCACGUAUAUGUAUGUGUGUGGGAGGGGAAGGGGGGGGGGGGGGGGGUGUAAGGGAUAUCCUCUUGGCCUUGGGAAAAAAAAAUCUGUGUGCACAAACUGACAGAAAACAGACUAUGGCAUAGAGCUUCCUCUCAACUAAUGAAUUCCUGAUCACAUUCACACACACACACACACACACACACGCACGCACGCACGCGCACACACACACACACACACACACACACACACACACACACACACACAUGCACGACACAUACAUGCAGACAAAAGCCUUUUUAGCUGCCAGCCCACAGACCUUAGUCAAGGAGAGUUUCUUUCAAGGAGUAGUGAGAUCAAAUAAUAAUGCAGUAUUUUUAGGUGGUUGGUGUACAACUUAAAAUACUUCUUGUUAAUUUGCUGCUCUUAUGGUGAUUAAUUAUUGACUAUUUAUAACUUCAGCACUGCAAAAUUAAAAACGUUUCAGUUGGAACAAAUGGAUUUAAUUCAUAUUGUGUUGAUUUUUUGAAUUGGGUCCCAAAUGUUGGAUGCGUAAAACUAGUUUCAUUACACAUGAAAACAUUGAAACAUUGAAGGACAUUAUAAGUCGGCUCGUGCAGAGUUCAAGUAGGCGAAGGAAGACGGAUCAUCUUCACUGCCGGUGUCUUAUGAGGUGGUUUUCAGUUCAGUUUGACAAGGGAGAAGACGGAUGUUGUGUCAGUGUGCAGUGUCCUCUCUGUCCAGCAGGGAGCAGAGUAAAGUCCUUCUUAAGUCUACCAGAUGAUGUGAGAAAACUAGUACGAGAAAUACUGCUGAUACGACUAAUAGUGCUGUUACUUCUGCUACUACCAUGAUGGUACAUAUUAGUGUUAGAGCAACUUAAAAUGUGACCCCUUUUAUCGAUUCCAUAGCAAAUAGAUGUUGGAUGUUACAUAGACGAACUCUGAAUCCCAUACAUAUUCUCCAUAUGGGCCUUCCAUGAACUUAACUCUUAAGCAAAAUAACCUCCGUGUCUGCAAACACGUGCAUGCAAAAUCUACUCAAUAACCAAUCAAAAGUAAGUGUAAAAAAAUAAAUUUUUAAAAUAAGCCAGGUCAGCUUCUGCAAUAACUUUAGCAAAAUUUGGACACAGAGCUAAAAAAAUAGUGGUAGUAGUAGUAGUAGUAGUAAUAGUAAUAGUUUGGCACAGGCUUAAAAUCCACCAGAAAACGCUGAAACCGGAUUUGAGCCCAAUAUCCUGUAAAAAAAAAGUAAAUACAAUUUGAUAAUCCAAUGCAACUAGCAAUAUUAAUAAAAGAAUCACUGCAGUUUCAGGCUUUAAGGCAACCUUGGGGGGGAGGGGUGGGCACUCCUCAGAGAGUCCCAGUGCUUUUCCUAACAAACGGAAAUAAAUUGAAAAUAAAUAAGACAUAACAACAGAACGAUCCAUUGACAGAGUUAAUAAAAGGAGACAUAAAACAUAUAUUUUACAUAUUUUCUGCUGUAUAUUGGGGGGGACAAAUUGGUAUUUUCUCAAUAUUGGGGGGGACACAACCCCCCCAAAUAAUGCGUGGCUACACCCUUGAUAUUGUCACAAGGCUAUUUACUAAAGUCAAAAAACUAAAUCUGGGGUCAAAUUGUCCCCCAUAUUUCGGUGUAUAUUUGUACUCAGUUAACUCAGGGUGAACAUUCCACGUAACAAAACCCGAUACAAAAUGGAGUUGAAAAAAAAAAUGGAGAAAAAAAUGCAGAAAAAAUGUGGGAUAAAUCUAGCUGCUAGAAUUGGUUUGGUUUUCUAAAUACAACCAAGCCUCAAACCACUGUUGUUCCAACCACUUUUAUAAAUGGCAGAGAGACUCAAAGUUUGAGGUUGAUUUUUCCAUCAUUGCCCAGCGCAAUAAGCAGUCCCGUUUUGCUACAUAGGUGAAGAGAAAACGAAAUAAAUUGUUUUAUGGUGGCGUACAAGUCAAUGAGUCUCUCAGACUGCGCUGUAAUCUGGUGGUACGUCAAGGGUUAAUCCUUUAUCUCUCCUGUAUCAGAUGGCAGCACCUCACCAUGCCAAUAUCUCUGGUUUCUGCUUCUUACGUUUUUGUCUGCUGUGACUUCUCAAACACUCAGACUUCUAAAACGGAAAUGUUUACUCUUAGUUGAAAAGAUGAGAAAAAACACCUCCUCUAGUUUUAAGAAGGUUCACAACAGUUAACCUGAAGCCACAUCCCUCCGUAUAACGCAGUUCACCAGGCAAUUUCCAGAGCAAUUUCCAGAGCAGUACAAAGGCUGCAUGCAGUUCCCAUAAACCUCUCCCUCUCAGCACUUCUGAGAAAUCUGAGAAAAAAUGGAGCUUCAGUUGCAGGGCUGAUGAUUCCCCCUUUUUACUGACUUCAAUAUGCCCAUCUGCUUCAUUCAACUUCAACCAACAAGCUGAACAAAAGGCAGACAAUCAAUCUAAGCUGGAUGUGUCUCUCUGCCCUGAAAAUACCAACAGUCCCCCCACAACACUAUGCAUGUUUCUGCUGUGGGUCUCGGACUGAUCAAACAGGUUUUAUGUUGGAGCCUCUAGUUUGAAAACCUUCUGUGUUAAGGUCAGUGAUAAUGAAGGAAAUGAAAUACCAGGAUUAUGUCUCUGUUUGAAGUUGCUUGGCACACAAACUAUACCUACACGACUGAGGCCACCACUGUGUUUUUAUAACGUGAGACCUGUCUACACACACACACACACACACACACACACACACACACACACACACACACACACACACACACACACACACACACACACACAAUGUUUGGGAGGGUGGUUAGUAGCAGUGUUCUGGUUUAAUGGGGUACUUACCUGAACCAGCCACCAAUAAAUCCUCUGGUACAAAAGGUUUUUCAUUUUCAGCUUGAGAGACUAAACUGGAAUGACUUAAUUGACAUACUAAUGUUUAAAAUAGACUAGCCUUAGUGGACAAAAAGAGACACCUGGACAAACCUGUCAGCCUAUAUGGAUCAAAAAAGUAAAUACAGUUUCAUCAUUGCUACGACAAACCAAGAUUAAAUUCCUUCCAAUUUAUCAGAAGUAUCAGGAGUUGUCUAACUAUCACUGAUUUCAAGUUUACAUGGCAUUGGAAUUUGUUGGCCUUGUGUUUUUUGGAAAUGGGUUAGGGUUGUGUGGAAAUCCAUACAACUGGUUUGUGUUCUGCAUGGUAAAAUGCCUUUUUUUCCGUUAAUGAAGUCAAUUAUUUUAUUUUGUAUAGCCCAAAAUCGCAAAUUACAAAUUUGCCUUAGAGGGCUUUAAAGUCUGUGCACAUGCAACAUUCCCUGUCCCAAAACCCCUUACGCAAGCACUGGAAAAACUCUCAAAAAAAUGAAAAAACCCUUGAUGGGGAGAAAAAAGAGAAGAAACCUUAGGGGGACCAGCAAAGAAGAAUUCCCCUCCCAAGAUGGACAAAUUGCAAUGGAUGUUAUGUGUAAAGAAUGAACAGAUGAAAGACAUACAGUAGUUCAAUUCAUACGACACAAUAUUUUCAAAUUUUGAGAAUAGUAAGCCAGGUGUACAGCAGGACCACUGCAGGGACAACCACCAUCAUAUACAACCACCAUCAGAUAUUACAUUACAUUACAUUUAGCUGACGCUUUUAUCCAAAGUGACUUACAUUGCAUUUUUAACAAUUUUGCCCGGGUAGCAAUUAGGGGUUAGGUGUCUUGCUCAGGGAUACUUUGACUUGGAGAAACCAGGGCUUGAACCGUGAUCCUUGCGGUUCCCAGCGGUUAGGGUUAGGCGCACCCUCUCUACCCCAUGCGCCACCCACACAACCAUAACCAUAAUAAUGAUAGUGAUGGUGAUAGUCAUAGGUGUGUUUUGUUGUCAUCUUAUCCCUGCCUGUCUUUUUCCGGUGGCCAUGACAACGGGGCGUGGACUUUGAGGACGCGCAGCUGCUUCGAAUCAGUCACCUGACUCCCGUUCCCUAUCAGGGGGGUAUUUAGGAGCAACCCGGAGAUCCAGUCCCUGCCGGAUCGUUAGAUGCCAAUAGGUUAUACCUUGUACGACCAUUGUUCACCCUGCCGGACUUCGCCUCACCUAACUUCGAAUCACCUGACACGCCAUUAUCUCUCGUUGGGUCAAGGACUCUGUGAAGGGACCCACUCCAGGAACCAGAAAGUUGCAGACUACUGGUGGUUUUCUGCUUUGUUGUUUUUGUUGUUUGACUCACGGAAUUAAACCUUUUGUUUCAACCCUCCGGUCUGCGUCUGGGUCCUGUCCGAGCAAACUGACACUAGAAGUAAUAAUCGCAUGAUUUCUUUUUCUGCAUAAUAGAUGUUUGAUUUGUGUCUGAGUUUAGCAUCAGAAAGUGCUAAAGUUUGGGAACGAUCUAAUAAAUACAACUUCAACCAG
This is a long non-coding RNA of Gasterosteus aculeatus aculeatus (three-spined stickleback), 5702 nucleotides long. NCBI's taxonomy places the organism in Eukaryota, Metazoa, Chordata, Actinopteri, Perciformes, Gasterosteidae. The record is from Ensembl.